UGAAAACUUUUAGUCUGGUAUAUGCACAAUAUUAGAUGGAUGUCGACAGCACCUAAGAUUCUUCACCAAUUAUCGGCCUCUGAAUCACCAUCGCCUUCAUACUGGGCCAGCACCUAAGAUUCUUCACCAGUUAUCCGCCUCUGAAUCACUAUCAUCUUCAUCCUGAUCACUUUCAUCCUGGGCCGGUGAAGAAUUAUUCAUCAUAAACCUCAAACUGUCGCCUUCCUCG
Molecule: unclassified non-coding RNA, 229 nt
Filed under: Hevea brasiliensis (rubber tree)
Lineage: Eukaryota; Viridiplantae; Streptophyta; Magnoliopsida; Malpighiales; Euphorbiaceae
Source: RNAcentral